RNAcentral lists this unclassified non-coding RNA (203 nucleotides) under Hevea brasiliensis (rubber tree). Lineage: Eukaryota; Viridiplantae; Streptophyta; Magnoliopsida; Malpighiales; Euphorbiaceae. The record is from RNAcentral.
GGCUCUCUUGCCUUUCAAGCCAAUAGCAAUGAAGGUUCUACAUUGUUCAUUCCUUUCUGGAAUACGGAUGACGAAAGCUGAACCUUUGCUGAAGAUAUUGCAGCCAAAGAUAGUUAUGGUAAUCACAAUCCAGUUAUCGUCCUCUCUAUGUAAUGCUAUAUUAAGUCUCUCUCUCUCUCUCUCCCCCCACGCACCACCACCCC